UUUCACGGCCAUGCCGCCCGGAACACGGCCAAUCUUUUCAGAUCUCGGAAGCUAAGCAGGGUUGAGCCUGGCUAGUACUUGGAUAGGAGACCACCUAGGAAGACCAGGUGCUGUAGGUA
RNAcentral lists this ribosomal RNA (119 nucleotides) under Pteropus alecto (black flying fox). The record is from RNAcentral. Lineage: Eukaryota; Metazoa; Chordata; Mammalia; Chiroptera; Pteropodidae.